RNAcentral lists this ribosomal RNA (253 nucleotides) under uncultured bacterium. RNAcentral describes it as "partial 16S ribosomal RNA". It matches the Rfam family "Bacterial small subunit ribosomal RNA", at positions 524 to 776 of the family's 1533-position model. The record is from RNAcentral.
UACGUAGGGAGCAAGCGUUGUCCGGAAUCAUUGGACGUAAAGCGCGCGUAGGUGGCCUCAUAAGUCCGCUGUGAAAGUCAAAGGCUCAACCUUUGAAAGCCGGUGGAUACUGUGAGGCUAGAGUACGGAAGAGGCGAGUGGAAUUCCUGGUGUAGCGGUGGAAUGCGCAGAUAUCAGGAGGAACACCAAUAGCGAAGGCAGCUCGCUGGGACGUUACUGACACUGAGGCGCGAAAGCGUGGGGAGCGAACAGG